Long non-coding RNA from Ornithorhynchus anatinus (platypus), 300 nucleotides. RefSeq lists it as uncharacterized. The record is from RefSeq and is a predicted model, not a curated record. The transcript is spliced from 2 exons. NCBI's taxonomy places the organism in Eukaryota, Metazoa, Chordata, Mammalia, Monotremata, Ornithorhynchidae.
CUUCAAAGAGACACGUAAGGGCAGCGAAGACGACUCCUCGUUUGAAAACUCCCCCAUUUGGCUGGCUAAAUAAAGGGGCAUCACCUCAAAGGGGACAUGGACCAUACCCUGCUGUUAAGCCUCGGGAUGAAAGACAACCAGAUCAACAGAAGAUGGGAAAGAUUCUGUGAAUCGAGCUACUGUCCAUCCUGGGGAUGAGACCUGGAUCCUUGCUCCUCUUCCUCAGACACCAUCUCUCUUGAUUGAUUACGUUCUCCCUUGUCUUUGAAAACAGGAACUUCCUUGCCUGAUUCAGUUCAA